This 422-nucleotide ribosomal RNA is filed under the name uncultured bacterium. Its description in RNAcentral is "SSU rRNA". It matches the Rfam family "Bacterial small subunit ribosomal RNA", at positions 369 to 808 of the family's 1533-position model. The record is from RNAcentral.
CANUGGAGGAACUCUGAUGCAGCGACGCCGCGUGAGUGAAGAAGUAUUUCGGUAUGUAAAGCUCUAUCAGCAGGGNAAGAAAAUGACGGUACCUGACUAAGAAGCCCCGGCUAACUACGUGCCAGCAGCCGCGGUAAUACGUAGGGGGCAAGCGUUAUCCGGAUUUACUGGGUGUAAAGGGAGCGUAGACGGCGACGCAAGUCUGAAGUGAAAUACCCGGGCUCAACCUGGGAACUGCUUUGGAAACUGUGUUGCUAGAGUGCUGGAGAGGUAAGCGGAAUUCCUAGUGUAGCGGUGAAAUGCGUAGAUAUUAGGAAGAACACCAGUGGCGAAGGCGGCUUACUGGACAGUAACUGACGUUGAGGCUCGAAAGCGUGGGGAGCAAACAGGAUUAGAUACCCUGGUAGUCCAAGGGCGAAUUC